This is a non-coding RNA of Lactuca sativa (garden lettuce), 1803 nucleotides long. The record is from RefSeq and is a predicted model, not a curated record. NCBI's taxonomy places the organism in Eukaryota, Viridiplantae, Streptophyta, Magnoliopsida, Asterales, Asteraceae.
UCAUCACAGUAACCCCAUUCCGUGUUCCUUCGUUUUCUCUGUUUGACUUCAGUGGAAGCAACAUAAUUUUCCCCAAAUCAUAUCAUACAUAUCACAUUUUCACAUUUGGAAGCAGCAUAAGGCGAUCACGCAUGAAAGGAGUAUCUAUGACCUCGGUGGCGAAGUUGAUCCGAACAUCUCAGACAUCGGCAGUGUAAUUAGGGAUCUUAAAGGAAACGGCGACAUGUGAUUGUGUAGCGAGGUUGUUGAUCUCAAAUGAGAAACGGUUCAAUCAAAUGGCGGAGGGAAGGGACGUCCGUGAGAUCCAGUCUAGCAACCGUUCAAUUCUCACCUCCCUCAACCUAAAAUCGUUUCUAAAGAGGUGAUGACAUAUGUAACUCAAGAAGUGAAGGAUCUGUAUCAUCUUCUAGAAAAUAAAAUUUCUACAUUUGGAUUUGGCAUCAAUAGUACAAUCUCUGGAAAAAUAUCUUCAACAUCUACUGUACCAGAAGUGCCGCUUUCUCAGUACAUUCCUGCUUUGGAAAAAGUAGCAACCUUAAGACUCCUACAACAGGUGUCCUAAGUGUACCAAACAAUGAAAGUUGAGACUUUAUCAAAAAUGGUUCCUUUCUUUGACUUCUCAGCUGUAGAGAGGAUCUAUGUUGAUUCUGUCCAGCAUAAUUUCAUUGCUAUGAAAGUUGACCACAUGAAGGUGCAAUUAUACUUGGUGACUUGUUUUGUUUUUCCCAAGGGUUUUGAAUCCGACACACUGCAAGGGAGAAGGUGACAAAGAAAUCCUUGAUGGAGUUGGCAAUACAGGAGCAAGUUAGAGAGAGGCAAGAAAUGGAAAAGAAGAUGCAAAAACUAAUCAAGACCAUGGAUCAUUUUGAAAGAGCCAAAAGGGAAGAGGCUGCACCUCUCAUUGAAGCUUCUUUCCAAAGAUGUUUGGCACUUUGGCUGAAGAGAAACUCCGCCAUGAACACGAACAACAGGUAAUCUACUUACUUUGUAAAAUAAAAAAAAGAUGUAAAUGCCCAAGUUUACUUGCUUUUUUUUUUUUUUUUGCAUGCAACUUGAGGUUGAACUGAGUAGAGAGUGUCAUGAAGGAGAUCUGAAGGAGAAGUAUAGACUUGCUCGUGUUAUGGAACAUAAGAUGGAACUUGAGGAAAAAGUUGUGAGCAGACAAAAGGCAGAGUAUGAUAGAAUGAGAGCUGAGAGAGAGAGGAAAGACUUGGCCAAAUCCUCAAGGCACAAAAAGAGGAAAGGGACCUAAAAAGGAAAAUGUUGUUUUAUUUGAAGACUGAAAAAGAAAGGCUCAACAAGCUUCGUGAGGAAGAAGAAGCCCGCAAACGUGAAGAGGCUGAAAGGCGCAAGAAAGAGGAGGCUAAACGGAGGGCGAAGUUGGAUGAAAUAGCUGAAAGGCAGAGGAAAAGAGAACAAGAACUUGAAGAAAGAGAGAGGCUUAGGAAGGAGUGCAACACCGCUUGAUGGCCCAACCAGACCGUCUGAGCUUAUCUUAAUUGAAAAUUUAAAUGAAAAAUUAUUAAUUUCCAUACAAGGUGGAUGAUUUUAUUAACAUAUAUAAAUAUUUUAUUAUGAGAAUUAUAAAUAAUAUACUUGAACUAACGGUUGUACUUGAAAGAAUAGCAAAGAUGAUGGUUCAGACAACAAUUUGAUUGGUCAAUUUGGUGUUGGAUUUUAUUAUGCCUUCCAGGUUGCUUACUGAUAACAUUAUGUAUCAGAUAACAUUUUAUGUUUAAUUUGUAGCAUUUUGAUGUAUUGGAUAUUAUUAUAGUUUCUAUAGAAAUACUACUUUUGGUUUUA